UACGUAGGUGGCAAGCGUUGUCCGGAAUUAUUGGGCGUAAAGCGCGCGCAGGCGGUUCUUUUAAGUCUGAUGUGAAAGCCCACGGCUCAACCGUGGAGGGUCAUUGGAAACUGGAGAACUUGAGUACAGAAGAGGAAAGCGGAAUUCCACGUGUAGCGGUGAAAUGCGUAGAGAUGUGGAGGAACACCAGUGGCGAAGGCGGCUUUCUGGUCGUGUAACUGACGCUGAGGCGCGAAAGCGUGGGGAGCAAACAGG
This 255-nucleotide ribosomal RNA is filed under the name uncultured bacterium. RNAcentral describes it as "partial 16S ribosomal RNA". It matches the Rfam family "Bacterial small subunit ribosomal RNA", at positions 524 to 776 of the family's 1533-position model. The record is from RNAcentral.